Molecule: ribosomal RNA, 505 nt
Filed under: uncultured bacterium
Lineage: Bacteria
Description: partial 16S ribosomal RNA
Rfam family: Bacterial small subunit ribosomal RNA
Source: RNAcentral
GACGAACGCUGGCGGCGUGCCUAAUACAUGCAAGUAGAACGCACAGUUUAUACCGUAGCUUGCUACACCAUAGACUGUGAGUUGCGAACGGGUGAGUAACGCGUAGGUAACCUGCCUGGUAGCGGGGGAUAACUAUUGGAAACGAUAGCUAAUACCGCAUAAUAUUGAUUAUUGCAUGAUAAUUGAUUGAAAGAUGCUAUUGCAUCACUACCAGAUGGACCUGCGUUGUAUUAGCUAGUAGGUGAGGUAACGGCUCACCUAGGCGACGAUACAUAGCCGACCUGAGAGGGUGAUCGGCCACACUGGGACUGAGACACGGCCCAGACUCCUACGGGAGGCAGCAGUAGGGAAUCUUCGGCAAUGGACGAAAGUCUGACCGAACAACGCCGCGUGAGUGAAGAAGGUUUUCGGAUCGUAAAGCUCUGUUGUAAGAGAAGAACGGGUGUGAGAGUGGAAAGUUCACACUGUGACGGUAUCUUACCAGAAAGGGACGGCUAACUACGUG